Molecule: ribosomal RNA, 264 nt
Filed under: Triticum aestivum (bread wheat)
Lineage: Eukaryota; Viridiplantae; Streptophyta; Magnoliopsida; Poales; Poaceae
Description: partial small subunit ribosomal RNA
Source: RNAcentral
AUGGUACAGAUACUAUCUCUCAUCCACAGCAAAAAGGGGACUCUGAGUAGCAUGCCGUACAUACCAGCUGACGUCACAAACCUACAAGCCAAGUACCAUAGAGAGAGCAAGUUGGCAGACAUAGAGGCCACAAUGGCCUACUUCGAUGAGAAAGCGAACAAAGAUCCAGAUUUCUUCUACAGGAUAAGGUUGGACGAUGAGGACCGUGUCAGGAACAUGUAUUGGGUGGAUGGUGCUGCAAGGAGAGCCUACAAACAUUUCUGA